Molecule: ribosomal RNA, 437 nt
Filed under: Lecanora circumborealis
Lineage: Eukaryota; Fungi; Ascomycota; Lecanoromycetes; Lecanorales; Lecanoraceae
Description: SSU rRNA
Rfam family: Bacterial small subunit ribosomal RNA
Source: RNAcentral
UCGCGGUAAUACGUAGAAGACUAGUGUUAUUCAUCUUUAAUAGGUUUAAAGGGUACCUAGACGGUAAAUCAAGCCUUCAAGGGGACUAGUUUACUAGAGUUACUUGUGAGGGGGUAUUAAAGUACUGCUGGUGUAGAGAUGAAAUUCUGUGAUACCUCUUUUCGUAAGAAAAAUAAUGGCACAGGUAUAGGCGAAAGCAUCCCCUUAUGUGAUAACUGACGUUGAAGGACGAAGGCUUUGUGUAGCGAACAGGAUUAGAUACCCCAGUAGUCAAAGCAGAAAAUGAUGAAUGUCAUAGAUUAGACAUAUAAUAGUUUAUUCUAUAAAUGAAAGUGUAAGCAUUCCACCUCAAGAGUAAUUUGGCAACAUUGGAACUGAAAUCAUUAGACCGUUUCUGAAACCAGUAGUGAAGUAUGUUGUUUAAUUUGAUAAUCCAC